GCCGGUGUAGCUCAGGGGUAGAGCGUUUCCUUGGUAAGGAAGAGGUCGGCAGUUCAAAUCUGCUCGCUGGCU
Molecule: transfer RNA, 72 nt
Filed under: Flavobacteriaceae bacterium
Lineage: Bacteria; Pseudomonadati; Bacteroidota; Flavobacteriia; Flavobacteriales; Flavobacteriaceae
Description: tRNA-Thr
Rfam family: tRNA
About the family: Transfer RNA (tRNA) molecules are approximately 80 nucleotides in length.
Source: RNAcentral